This 476-nucleotide ribosomal RNA is filed under the name uncultured bacterium. RNAcentral's name for it is "partial 16S ribosomal RNA". It matches the Rfam family "Bacterial small subunit ribosomal RNA", at positions 28 to 523 of the family's 1533-position model. The record is from RNAcentral.
GACGAACGCUGGCGGCGCGCCUAACACAUGCAAGUCGAACGGUAAGGCCUUCGGGUACACGAGUGGCGAACGGGUGAGUAACACGUGGGUGAUCUGCCCUGCACUUUGGGAUAAGCCUGGGAAACUGGGUCUAAUACCGGAUAGGACCAUGGCCUGCAUGGGUUGUGGUGGAAAGCUUUUGCGGUGUGGGAUGGGCCCGCGGCCUAUCAGCUUGUUGGUGGGGUGAUGGCCUACCAAGGCGACGACGGGUAGCCGGCCUGAGAGGGUGUCAGGCCACACUGGGACUGAGAUACGGCCCAGACUCCUACGGGAGGCAGCAGUGGGGAAUAUUGCACAAUGGGCGCAAGCCUGAUGCAGCGACGCCGCGUGGGGGAUGACGGCCUUCGGGUUGUAAACCUUUUUCAAUAGGGACGAAGCGUGAGUGACGGUACCUAUAGAAGAAGCACCGGCCAACUACGUGCCAGCAGCCGCCGUAA